Molecule: ribosomal RNA, 876 nt
Filed under: uncultured Planctomycetota bacterium
Lineage: Bacteria; Pseudomonadati; Planctomycetota
Description: bacterial SSU rRNA
Rfam family: Bacterial small subunit ribosomal RNA
Source: RNAcentral
GGAUUAGGCAUGCAAGUCGAACGAGGAUAUAUCCUUCGGGAUAUAAGCCGAGUGGCGCAAGGGUGAGUAAUGCAUAGAUUACCUGCCUCUAGGAUAAGGACAACUUUGUGAAAACGAAGCUAAUACUUAAUAAUACAAAUGGAAAUAAUUUCUAUUUGUCAAUGGGAGGGUAGCAAUACCUUUUGCCUGGAGAGGGGUUUAUGUCCUAUCAGCUUGUUGGUGGGGUAAUGGCCUACCAAGGCGAAGACGGGUAGCCGGUCUUAGAGGAUGGUCGGCCACACUGGGACUGAGACACUGCCCAGACUUCUACGGAAGGCUGCAGUCGAGAAUCUUUCGCAAUGCCCGAAAGGGUGACGAAGCGACGCCGCGUGAGUGAGGAAGGCCUUCGGGUUGUAAAGCUCUGUCAGGAGUUAAGAAAUAUAAGUGUGCUAAUACCACAUUUAUUUGACGAAGGCUCCAAAGGAAGCCACGGCUAACUCUGUGCCAGCAGCCGCGGUAAUACAGAGGUGGCAAGCGUUGUUCGGAAUUAUUGGGCGUAAAGAGCACGUAGGUGGGUUUGUAAGUCAGAUGUGAAAGCCUUCUGUUCAACGGAAGAAUUGCAUCUGAAACUGCGAGUCUUGAGUGUAGGAGGGGAGAAUGGAACUUCUGGUGGAGCGGUGAAAUGCGUAGAUAUCAGAAGGAACGCCGGCGGCGAAAGCGAUUCUCUGGCCUAUUACUGACACUCAGUGUGCGAAAGCUAGGGGAGCAAACGGGAUUAGAUACCCCGGUAGUCCUAGCUGUAAACGAUGGGCACUAAGUAGAGGGAAUUACCGAUGUUCUCUCUGCCGUAGCUAACGCAUUAAGUGCCCCGCCUGGGGAGUACGGCCGCAAGGCUAA